GGGGGAUAUUGCACAAUGGAGGAAACUCUGAUGCAGCGACGCCGCGUGAGUGAAGAAGUAUUUCGGUAUGUAAAGCUCUAUCAGCAGGGAAUAAAAAAAUGAAAGUACCUGACUAAGAAGCCCCGGCUAACUACGUGCCAGCAGCCGCGGUAAUACGUAGGGGGCAAGCGUUAUCCGGAUUUACUGGGUGUAAAGGGAGCGUAGGUGGUGCAGCAAGUCAGGAGUGAAAGCCCGGGGCCCAACCCCGGUAUUGCUUUUGAAACUACUGUGCUGGAGUGCAGGAAGGGUAAGCGGAAUUCCUAGUGUAGCGGUGAAAUGCGUAGAUAUUAGGAAGAACACCGGUGGCGAAGGCGGCUUACUGGACUGUAACUGACACUGAGGCUCGAAAGCGUGGGUAGCAAAC
This 403-nucleotide ribosomal RNA is filed under the name uncultured bacterium. RNAcentral describes it as "bacterial SSU rRNA". It matches the Rfam family "Bacterial small subunit ribosomal RNA", at positions 356 to 773 of the family's 1533-position model. The record is from RNAcentral.